This is a long non-coding RNA of Haliotis rubra (blacklip abalone), 700 nucleotides long. RefSeq lists it as uncharacterized. Lineage: Eukaryota; Metazoa; Mollusca; Gastropoda; Lepetellida; Haliotidae. The transcript is spliced from 2 exons. The record is from RefSeq and is a predicted model, not a curated record.
CUCUGCCAACACCUGAUGUAUUGACCAGCAUUGAAUAACAGUGUUAUUCCAUGAUGUAUUGACCAGCGAUGUAUGGCAGUGUUACAAGCACAUAUGGAUGUUUGAGGUGAUAGACUCUGCCAACACCUGAUGUAUUGACCAGCAUUGAAUAACAGUGUUAUUCCAUGAUGUAUUGACCAGCGAUGUAUGGCAGUGUUACAAGCAUAUAUGGAUGUUUGAGGUGAUAGACUGUGCUAUGGCAAUGUCUCUUACCACUCAAAACCGUCAAAUACGUGAUUUUGCAUCAAAAUGCAAAUAUUGAAUGUAGAUUUUGCAGUGACUAUGAUAACUGUCCAGCACCUCAUCAGUGGAUGGUAUGACUCAGAAUAUGUACACACUGUCGUUAAAAAACCCUGCAGUUGUCUCUCUUGUAUAGGCUCAAUUACAGUGGCUCCUUUUAUGUUUCCAGGCCAACAAACCAAGUGAAAUGAUUAACAUCAUUGAAUUCUCUGUCCCUUUUGACAGUACUGUGACAAGAUCCUGGAAAUUAAGGGCAAAAUGGUGACCUUGCUUACAAAAUCAGAGUUUUACACAGACUUUGAAAAAUGGGAGUCAUGGUGACUCAAUGUCUACUUUUGGGAGUCAUUUUCAAUAUUUGGGAGUCAUGAAGAUUUAAUAUUUAGUUGUGUUUAUAAAUCAAAAAGCAAGAGUUUGGCAAAUA